Molecule: long non-coding RNA, 1130 nt
Filed under: Equus caballus (horse)
Lineage: Eukaryota; Metazoa; Chordata; Mammalia; Perissodactyla; Equidae
Description: lncRNA (ENSECAG00000045216.1)
Source: RNAcentral
UCAGAGAGCUCCCUUGCCCCUUCCGCCACGUGAGGACGCAGCCGUGAGAAGAUGCCCAUCCAGGAACCUGGACGCGGGCUCUCACCAGACAGCAGUCUGCCCGCUCCUUGAUCGGGGACAUUCCAGCCUCCAGAAAUGUGAGGAAUAAAUGUUUGUUCUUUAAGCCCCCAGCCUGUGGUGUUCUCGUGAGAGCAGCCAGAACGGACUCAGACGGAGCUGUUAAUUUCUUGACUGUGGCGGGGAUUUCACGGGUAAAUACGGUCUUGAGAGCCGUGAAAGACUGAAGCACCGUCUCUGAGGUGGAGGCAUCGCUGGAUCCAGCUCCUCAUCCGCUGUCCACGUCAGCAUGCUUUGCCAUGUCACUCUGCGUGCCCUCCCUCUGGGGAUGGGCAGCUGUCUCAGCCCUCGACAGAAGGCAUGCGGCUCCCCCAUGUGACUUGCUUUUGGGGGCGGGACGUCAGCAGAUGUGAAGCUAUGCGCUGUGGAUCAGGCUGUGCCCCAGGGCUGCCUUCUGAGUCUCUCAGGGCUGUUGCUGUGAGAACGCGCCCGGCCUGGCCUCCUAGAGGAUGAGAGAUACCUGGAGCAGAGCCACUUUGCUUUGGUCACCCCGGUCAAGGUCAGCCGACAUCGGCCAAUAACCGCGGAAUCUCCCAGACAUGUGAACAAGUCCAGCCAAGGCCAGGUGGUGGCGAUAGACGACAGAUUCUCGCCCUAUCAGAAGGAACAGUCUGGGGUUAUCUGGGAAGGCUUCUUGGAGGAGUUCAGGGCCCCACACAGCCAGAGGGCCCGUGAUGUUGGGUGCAUCCGGAGAGAGGGCCAGAGUGUGAGGGGACAGAUGAGAAGCCAGGCCGUGGAGGUGCAGGUAAGGGUCCUGGGGUGUUCCCUGUGGAGAAGAGAAGGGGGUCCUUCUGGGAGGGUAGGGAGUGGGUUGCACAUGGAAGCCCCCGAGUGUGGCCACAGCCCACAAGGAGGUGGCUGUGGACAAGUGGACGGGACAGAAUGGAACUCAAGUCCAGGGACCCCCCCAUGUGACCUUGGACCACAGAGGGCAUCAAGAGAGUGAGGACUGCCCAGUGAUGGGGGCUCUGGAUUGCCCAGGACGUGCUUCUCUAACUUAUAAACGAGCCUGG